AGAAAAACUUUAGUUAAAGCUGCUAACUUUAACAGGAGUACAUAAAAGUAUUCUUUUUCUU
This 61-nucleotide transfer RNA is filed under the name Psilodens balduri. Its description in RNAcentral is "tRNA-Ser". Lineage: Eukaryota; Metazoa; Mollusca; Caudofoveata; Limifossorida; Limifossoridae. The record is from RNAcentral.